GACUCUCGACAACGGAUAUCUCGGCUCUCGCAUCGAUNAAGAACGUAGUGAAAUGCGAUACUUGGUGUGAAUUGCAGAAUCCCGUGAACCAUCGAGUCUUUGAACGCAAGUUGCGCCCGAAGCCGUCAGGCCGAGGGCACGUCUGCCUGGGCGUCU
Molecule: ribosomal RNA, 156 nt
Filed under: Cornus oblonga
Lineage: Eukaryota; Viridiplantae; Streptophyta; Magnoliopsida; Cornales; Cornaceae
Description: 5.8S ribosomal RNA
Rfam family: 5.8S ribosomal RNA
About the family: 5.8S ribosomal RNA (5.8S rRNA) is a component of the large subunit of the eukaryotic ribosome. It is transcribed by RNA polymerase I as part of the 45S precursor that also contains 18S and 28S rRNA. Functionally, it is thought that 5.8S rRNA may be involved in ribosome translocation.
Source: RNAcentral